This 274-nucleotide ribosomal RNA is filed under the name uncultured bacterium. Its description in RNAcentral is "partial 16S ribosomal RNA". It matches the Rfam family "Bacterial small subunit ribosomal RNA", at positions 523 to 796 of the family's 1533-position model. The record is from RNAcentral.
AUACGGGGGGUGCAAGCGUUGUUCGGAUUGACUGGGCGUGAAGAGCACGUAGGUGGAUUUAUAAGUCGGCUGUGAAAGCCCCGAGCUUAACUUGGGAACUGCAGUCGAAACUAUAAGUCUUGAAUGUUUGAGAGGUUGGGGGAAUUCCAGGUGUAGGAGUGAAAUCCGUAGAUAUCUGGAGGAACACCGGAGGCGAAGGCGCCCAACUGGCGAUACAUUGACACUGAGGUGCGAAAGCGUGGGGAGCAAACAGGAUUAGAAACCCUAGUAGUCC